This 66-nucleotide transfer RNA is filed under the name Tylosurus crocodilus (hound needlefish). RNAcentral describes it as "tRNA-Cys". It matches the Rfam family "tRNA". Rfam says of the family: Transfer RNA (tRNA) molecules are approximately 80 nucleotides in length. The record is from RNAcentral. Lineage: Eukaryota; Metazoa; Chordata; Actinopteri; Beloniformes; Belonidae.
AGCUCUGAAGUGUUAUCAUACUAGAUUGCAAAUCUAGGGAAGCAGGUUAGUAGCCUGCCGGGGCUU